Molecule: ribosomal RNA, 399 nt
Filed under: uncultured bacterium
Lineage: Bacteria
Description: bacterial SSU rRNA
Rfam family: Bacterial small subunit ribosomal RNA
Source: RNAcentral
AUUGAACGCUGGCGGCGUGCUUAACACAUGCAAGUCGUGCGGUAACAGGCGUAGCAAUACGUGCUGACGAGCGGCGAACGGGUGCGUAAUACAUGGGAAUCUGCCCUUUAGUGGGGAAUAACCCGGCGAAAGCCGGGCUAAUGCCGCAUAAGAUCUUCGGAUGAAAGCGGGGGAUCGUAAGACCUCGCGCUGAUGGAUGAGCCCAUGUCGGAUUAGCAGUUGGUGAGGUAACGGCUCACCAAGGCGACGAUCCGUAGCUGGUCUGAGAGGACGGCCAGCCACACUGGGACUGAGACACGGCCCAGACUCCUACGGGAGGCAGCAGUGGGGAAUAUUGGACAAUGGGGAAACCCUGAUCCAGCGACGCCGCGUGUGUGAAGAAGGCCUGCGGGUUGUAAA